Molecule: small nuclear RNA, 197 nt
Filed under: Nicotiana sylvestris (wood tobacco)
Lineage: Eukaryota; Viridiplantae; Streptophyta; Magnoliopsida; Solanales; Solanaceae
Also listed under: 1 other name
Description: U2 spliceosomal RNA
Rfam family: U2 spliceosomal RNA
About the family: U2 is a small nuclear RNA (snRNA) component of the spliceosome (involved in pre-mRNA splicing).
Source: Rfam by way of RNAcentral
AUACCUUUCUCGGCCUUUUGGCUAAGAUCAAGUGUAGUAUCUGUUCUUAUCAGUUUAAUAUCUGAUAUGUGAGUCAUUGACUCACACGAUAUUAACUCUAUUUUUUUUAGGGAGAGAGUCCACUAAGGUAGCUUGCUACCUAGGCUUUCAAGCGUCGCCCUUGCGUUGCACUACUGCAAAGGCCUGGCGCACCCCAC